CAUGUGAUCUUUUGACCUGAGAUCAUCAUGGUAUCUUAUGUAUAUGGAUUCUUACUUUGAUUUAUUCCCUAGCAUGCUACUUUGAGAUGUGUGUAGAAUAUUCUGAGUAUGAUGAAGUGUGCAUGAAGGUUGUGAGUGGUCAAUAAGAAAUCGAUCACUCCUUGUAAGAGAAGAGAACAUCCUAUGUGAUCUCAUAGGAUGAUGACUCUGAG
RNAcentral lists this long non-coding RNA (212 nucleotides) under Elaeis guineensis (African oil palm). Its description in RNAcentral is "long non-coding RNA (EGUI_LNC014685)". Lineage: Eukaryota; Viridiplantae; Streptophyta; Magnoliopsida; Arecales; Arecaceae. The record is from RNAcentral.